UUGCCAGCACGUAGACAGGGUUUGGCAGGAACCGCACACCACCAGCCUCACUGUACCUGGGCUCCUCCAGGAGAGGUGUACAGGAUCCAUGGGAUCACUUGGUCUUCCUAGGAUGGCUUUGUUAAAAGUGAAGCCAGCUGUGUUUUAUAGCACCUGGCUUGAAAACAAAAGUGCCUUUCGCUGCUUUAGGGUGUGUAGUGGGAAGCUCGUUUCCUUCUUUCCUGGGCACUCUUCUCCAGUCCUGCCAUGUCCACACCCCACAUGUCCCCUGCCCAUCCCCUUGUCUCCUGUGCCCAUUGUAUGCAGUGGGACACUCUGCAUGCUGGGCAGCCAUGAAGCCAGAGUCUAUAGGAGGUGUCCUGGCAGAGUUACAUAAAGCACUUUAAGUCAAGCCGGAGUGGUAGGUAAGUCCUCUGCACAGGAGCCUUGCCUUGGGUGAGUGAUUCACUGGGAUCAUUCAGGACAAAGGAGAAGUUUCCAGGACCCAGAGUGAUGAGGUGACAAAUACUAUUGGGUCUACCCCGGAGCUUAUCAUCUAUCCUCUAGCCUGCUUGAAGACUGUAGGAGGCUUGCUGGCUGAGGGAAGGGCAUGAGCUCAGGGUCCAAGCCACUGUUCUGCAUCCAAGCAAGCAGGUGGCACUGGCUUGUGAGGAGCUGAAGAGUGGUCUGUGCCCAUAACAGGACUCCCCUGCCACUGAGAAGAAAGCAUUGUCAAUUUACCUUCAGGUAUUUACUCUGUAAAAAAUAUGUGUAGAUGUUUUGUACAGAGCCCUGUAUGAAAAUAAACACCCUUAUGUGAUUCCUAA
Molecule: long non-coding RNA, 806 nt
Filed under: Mus musculus (house mouse)
Lineage: Eukaryota; Metazoa; Chordata; Mammalia; Rodentia; Muridae
Description: long non-coding RNA chr2:152313188-152313994
Source: RNAcentral